AUGGGCUCGCUUUGCCUCGGGUCGCCCUGCCAGCAGCACGCACGAGUCCACCGGUCACAGUCGGACUACGGUCAAGCCCGCUUCGUGCAUUCCUCGCCGUCUGCGAACCGCAAGCUCAGCGUUUGCUCGUCGUCCACUGCCUACUCGACAACCGGCGGCAAGCUCGCGCUGAACUUCAAGGGCUUGAGCUAUGAGUACGAGGAAGAGGACCUUGCCAACAAAAGCGAUCUUCUCCUCGAGUCCAACCCGGUGAACAAGAAGGUGCCCGUGUUCAUCCACAACGGUGUGCCCAUCUACAAAUCGCUCGCCAUGUUGGAGUACAUCGACGAGGUCUACCGUGGGAUGGGAUCAUCCCUCCUCCCCGCCGACCCCUACCAACGCGCUAGGGCUUGA
This 393-nucleotide ribosomal RNA is filed under the name Triticum aestivum (bread wheat). RNAcentral describes it as "partial small subunit ribosomal RNA". The record is from RNAcentral. Lineage: Eukaryota; Viridiplantae; Streptophyta; Magnoliopsida; Poales; Poaceae.